This 420-nucleotide ribosomal RNA is filed under the name Triticum aestivum (bread wheat). RNAcentral describes it as "partial small subunit ribosomal RNA". The record is from RNAcentral. Lineage: Eukaryota; Viridiplantae; Streptophyta; Magnoliopsida; Poales; Poaceae.
AUGCAGAUUUUUGUGAAGACGCCAACGGGGAAGACGGUGAUCCUCGAGGUCGAGAGGACGGACACCAUCGGCAACGUGAAGGCCAAGAUCGAUGGUGAGGAAGGUGUGUCGCCGGAGCAGCAGCGGCUCAUCUUCGGCGGGAAGCCGCUGGAGGACGACCGCAGCCUGGCCGAGUACGACGUCCACAAGGACUCCACUCUCCACCUGCUGCUUCAUCUGCCCGGCGGGUUUCGCGGCCGCGAGGGUGGUUGGUUUACGGACCCCAGCAUGAGAGCCCUCGCAGAAAGCUACAGCCGAAACAAGAAGAUCUGCCGCAAGUGCUAUGCUCGGCUACCUCCUAGGGCAACAAACUGUCGCAAGAAGAAGUGUGGACACAGCACUCAGCUGAGGCAAAAGAAGAUCUGGAGGCCUUACGACUAA